Molecule: ribosomal RNA, 484 nt
Filed under: uncultured bacterium
Lineage: Bacteria
Description: partial 16S ribosomal RNA
Rfam family: Bacterial small subunit ribosomal RNA
Source: RNAcentral
AUUGAACGCUGGCGGCAGGCCUAACACAUGCAAGUCGAGCGGAUGAAGGGAGCUUGCUCCUGGAUUCAGCGGCGGACGGGUGAGUAAUGCCUAGGAAUCUGCCUGGUAGUGGGGGAUAACGUCCGGAAACGGGCGCUAAUACCGCAUACGUCCUGAGGGAGAAAGUGGGGGAUCUUAGGACCUCACGCUAUCAGAUGAGCCUAGGUCGGAUUAGCUAGUUGGUGGGGUAAAGGCCUACCAAGGCGACGAUCCGUAACUGGUCUGAGAGGAUGAUCAGUCACACUGGAACUGAGACACGGUCCAGACUCCUACGGGAGGCAGCAGUGGGGAAUAUUGGACAAUGGGCGAAAGCCUGAUCCAGCCAUGCCGCGUGUGUGAAGAAGGUCUUCGGAUUGUAAAGCACUUUAAGUUGGGAGGAAGGGCAGUAAGUUAAUACCUUGCUGUCUUGACGUUACCAACAGAAUAAGCACCGGCUAACUUCGUG